Molecule: ribosomal RNA, 433 nt
Filed under: uncultured bacterium
Lineage: Bacteria
Description: partial 16S ribosomal RNA
Rfam family: Bacterial small subunit ribosomal RNA
Source: RNAcentral
AACGAACGCUGGCGGCAUGCCUAACACAUGCAAGUCGAACGACACCACCGGGACUGGUUGCGCAUGGGGGCGUAACGCGGCGGAAGCUGCCCGUAUGCUCCGAAUAACUCUCCUACAGGGGUGCUAAUAUCGGGAAACUUAUUCUGACCAAAGAUUUAUCGCCCUUGGAUGGGCCCGCGUUGGUUUAGCUAGUUGGUAGUGUAAAAGCCUACCAAGGCGACGAUCCAUAGCUGGGCUGAGAGGAUGAGCAGCCACACUGAGACUGAGACACGGCGCGGACUCUUACAGGAGGGAGCAGUGGGGAAUAUUGGAAAACGGGCGAAAGCAUGAUCCAGCAAUGCCGCGUGAGUGAUGAAGGCCUUAGAGUUGUAAAGCUCUUUUACACGGGAUGAUAAUGACAGUACCGGGAGAAUAAGCACCGGCUAACUCCGUG